AGAGUUUGAUCAUGGCUCAGGACGAACGCUGGCGGCGUGCUUAAUACAUGCAAGUCGAGCGAGGCCUUGGAAUUGGAGUCCUUCGGGAUGAAGAGUCCUUGGCCUAGCGGCGGACGGGUGAGUAACGCGUGGGCAACCUACCCCAAAGUCCGGGAUAACAGUGGGAAACCGCUGCUAAUACCGGAUGGCUUUACCUGAGGGCAUCCUUGGGUAAAGAAAGGUUACGCUUUGGGAUGGGCCCGCGUCCCAUUAGCUAGUUGGUGAGGUAACGGCUCACCAAGGCCACGAUGGGUAGCCGGCCUGAGAGGGUGAACGGCCACACUGGGACUGAGACACGGCCCAGACUCCUACGGGAGGCAGCAGUAGGGAAUAUUGCGCAAUGGGCGGAAGCCUGACGCAGCGACGCCGCGUGAGCGAAGAAGGCCUUCGGGUCGUAAAGCUCUGUCCUUGGGGAAGAAGGCGAAAGCUUGACGGUACCCAAGAAGAAAGCCCCGGCUAACUACGUGCCAGCAGCCGCGUUAAU
This 523-nucleotide ribosomal RNA is filed under the name uncultured bacterium. Its description in RNAcentral is "bacterial SSU rRNA". It matches the Rfam family "Bacterial small subunit ribosomal RNA", at positions 8 to 524 of the family's 1533-position model. The record is from RNAcentral.